Molecule: long non-coding RNA, 616 nt
Organism: Equus caballus (horse)
Lineage: Eukaryota; Metazoa; Chordata; Mammalia; Perissodactyla; Equidae
Source: Ensembl
GUAAGUAGGUCUAGUGCUUAAAGAAAAGAUGAGAGAGCUUCCGGAACACUCUGUGCUCUGCUAUUGAAAAAGAUGAACAGAAUGGAGUAAAUAAAGGACGCUGAAAUAAAAGGAUUCUAAGGAGGAGAUGUAAAAGUCAGCAUUAGCUGGGACUUCAGAACAAAUGAAACCAAGGGAAACUAGGAGGGUCAGACGUCCCAGCUGUGUUCUGUUGGGACAAGCUCUGUUCACGGCAGGGGCUCUCUCAGGAGGAAGCUGAAGCCGCUCAGACUCGCUGUGGAGUGGGGAGAACUCCCAGGAACGAAAACGGGAGCUUUGAGACUCCUGUUGAGGGGGAAUCGCUGUGUGUAGACCAAGCAGGGGGCGGGGACUGCGCUGCUUCCGGGGCAUGUUCCUGGGAUGGACCGGAACAGAUCCAGCCCCUGACACCUGCGCUUCUGCUGACGCGCAGACGGCAAAGCACCGCCAAAGCAGCCCGAGCUGCAUCCAGGGACCCUGGAGCCCUGGGUGGCCUCAGCAGAAAGAGCUCAUUUCUCAGGGACUUAAAUGCGCCCACCCUCCCCCAUGGAAACCUGCAGGCCCUUUGUGAAUUUUCUCUCCUGGUCAUCAGUUACAG